UCACAGCUGUCAGUGGUUCAGCCAAUCAAUGGAUGCAUUUCAACGUAUGAGUAACUUACAAGUAACGUGUGCCAACAAUCGCAUAACUUAUCUACAACU
Long non-coding RNA from Thalassophryne amazonica, 99 nucleotides. RefSeq lists it as uncharacterized. The record is from RefSeq and is a predicted model, not a curated record. The transcript is spliced from 3 exons. NCBI's taxonomy places the organism in Eukaryota, Metazoa, Chordata, Actinopteri, Batrachoidiformes, Batrachoididae.